This 72-nucleotide transfer RNA is filed under the name Loxodonta africana (African savanna elephant). It matches the Rfam family "tRNA". Rfam says of the family: Transfer RNA (tRNA) molecules are approximately 80 nucleotides in length. Their secondary structure includes four short double-helical elements and three loops (D, anti-codon, and T loops). Further hydrogen bonds mediate the characteristic L-shaped molecular structure. tRNAs have two regions of fundamental functional importance: the anti-codon, which is responsible for specific mRNA codon recognition, and the 3' end, to which the tRNAs corresponding amino acid is attached (by aminoacyl-tRNA synthetases). tRNAs cope with the degeneracy of the genetic code in two manners: having more than one tRNA (with a specific anti-codon) for a particular amino acid; and 'wobble' base-pairing, i.e. permitting non-standard base-pairing at the 3rd anti-codon position. Lineage: Eukaryota; Metazoa; Chordata; Mammalia; Proboscidea; Elephantidae. The record is from Rfam by way of RNAcentral.
GCUCCGGUGGCACAGUGGUUAAUGCGCUCAGCUGCUAACUGAAAGAUCAGUGGUUCGAACCCAGCAGCUGCA